This 292-nucleotide ribosomal RNA is filed under the name uncultured bacterium. Its description in RNAcentral is "partial 16S ribosomal RNA". It matches the Rfam family "Bacterial small subunit ribosomal RNA", at positions 505 to 796 of the family's 1533-position model. The record is from RNAcentral.
GUGCCAGCCGCCGCGGUAAUACGAGGGGUCUAAGCGUUGUUCGGAAUCACUGGGCGUAAAGCGGGUGUAGGUGGCUCAGCAAGUUAGGUGUGAAAGCCCCGGGCUCAACCUGGGAAGUGCAUCUAAAACUACUGAGCUUGAGUACGGGAGAGGGAAGCAGAAUUCCUGGUGUAGUGGUGAAAUACGUAGAUAUCAGGAGGAACACCGGUGGCGAAGGCGGUUUCCUGGCCCAGUACUGACACUCAGACCCGAAAGCGUGGGUAGCAAACAGGAUUAGAUACCCUGGUAGUCC